CCUUUUAUAUUUCAAUGAAUUUGCAGUCAAUUGUGGGCUUCUCAGAAUUUCACUGAAUUAAUGCAUUUUAGUUCAUUUCACAUGAUGAAUUGUAAUCUUUCGCGGUUUCCACCAGAACUCUGUAAUGAUGGCCUAAGAUUCCUGAUUUUUAAUAGCUUUGCUUUAUUUAAUAAUUUUUCUUUUUAAAUGUUUUAAUUGAAUUCUUUUUUUACAGAUUUCAGCUUCCUUUUUGGUGGCAUGCAGCAAUUCAUAGAAGAAUUUGGAUUUUUUACUGGGAGCAUCCAUCGAUUGCUUCAGUGAUUUUUGAUUCUUUUUCACCUGGAGGCAUGCAUCAAUCAAUAUGGUUUAACGAUUGCGGGUCUUCCUUCGAGUAAUGGCGACCAGAAAGUUUAAAUGAAUUCUGCAUACUGCAGGUCCCAUCCCCACCUUUUAAUGGCUGAAUCAUGGAGAAGCAUUUAAGAGGCAUCUUCACAUAUGAAAAGGAUAUUUGGAGGCGUGCAUUGUGUUGGGGAAGCGUUUGAUACCGCAAGGACGCGCAGUCUAAGUGCGGCGCUCAGGCGGACUACACCUACACGUACGAAUCGCAUAAGACCGAGCUGAGAAAAAAGUCUGAUUUGGACGAAAUUUGAGAUGGUCUUUUAAUAUGCAAUAUGCAAUUCAUUUUUGAAAAUUCUGAUUGAAACUCUAAAGGCCUAGCCAAACCGACGCAGACAUGUGGGCACGGGACUGGGAGCGGAACGGACGUGCGAAUCGCCGCAUCGUUUACUUCAUUGACACGUAUACCUCCGUCCCGGAACUUUUGGAACACCCUGUAUACAUGAUUUGACCAGUAAAAGCAUUUGGCGACCAUUCCAUUUAUUGAGCAUAUCCGACGUUGACUCCGGCAAGUUCAACAGUGACAAGGUACAAUUUCUUUUAUUAUUUGUGGUUUAAUUAUAAUAAAUGUAAUCUUGUGAAAUUGUAGUCACAAUUAUUGGUCUUUAAAAGCAGAGGUAAUAAGUUUUAGAUUUUAAAGAGUUCCAUAUUCAGAAUUAGCAUUUUUUCCAAAUUUUGCUAACAAAUUAUUGACAAUAAUGAGAUAGUAGUGAAAGAGAAAUGAAUUUAAUUUAUUUACCUGAGCUAGCUGGAAGUAAAAGUACACAAAAAGGUAAGUCCCAAAAGUACUUCAGCAACCUAACAAGAUGAAGAAAUUACAAGAAGAAUUUGUAUCUACUACGAGCCACACCACGAACCUGAGAAGAUCGUCAACACUUUGCAAAGUAACCAUCCUUUACAAGUGUGGACCGUUAUAAAUUGUGUUUAACAAUAAAUAAAGAAAACAUGCUUAAUUAAUAAUAAUAAUUAUUAUUAUUAUUAGGGCAAAUAGGUUCAGAAAAUCAAAUUGUUUUAACGAAUUCACCUUGAACACGCCAUUUAUCUUACGUUAUUUAAAAUGGAGUUGGUGGAAGACACUGUGGAGCGUCAAAAACUUCUACAUCUAUUGCCUCUGGUGGAUUUGUUUAGAGUCAAUUGUCGAUUGUCACUGACUUUUGUGGAGAUGGAAACCAUUGAAUUAUAGCUACGUUGUUCAAGAUAUACCAUCUUCCAGUCGUUAGAAAUGGUUACCGCGUUUUAAUAUCUGAUCCCUACUUAAUUCAAAAUGGAGCUGGCGAAUAGCACUUUGAGCGGAUACAAGGAUUGUUGACACGGAGUGGUAGGUCAUUGCAUGAUUGCGAUGUUGUCAGAGACGUACCAUUUGCCAUUGGAAAAAGUUGCCACCUUUUCAUAUGCGAUUCCUGAUUCAAAAUGGAGACUACCACCACUUUGCAAUGAAUUACACGGGCGCGUCAAAUUCUUGGCCUCCAUUGGUUCUGAUGGAUUCAAUUCACUUCGAUUGUACUUCCAUGAUAUAAAUAAGCAAACAUUUUCUGGCGGUCUCAAGCAGUACCUACCUCCAUCGCUAGCGAUCUAAAACGACGACACUUUUCCGAUGCGAAGACCGAAGGAACUAGUCAACUCCGCAGUUGCCAACGUUUACUGGAUAAUCUUAUUGUUGUAGGGAUGAGUACUAUUCACCAUCACCACUUCGAAUUCGGCGCUGUCAUCAUCAUCAUUCCCGUCCAUCCGGCAUCCAGAUUUACUCUGACUAUGGUGUUUCACUAGUAACUUCAAUUUCCAUUUGUGCAUGUAUAAUGUUUAAAAGUGAUAACAAAAUAUAGGUACGUAGGUAUUAAGUUAUUUAUUUUUUAAGUUAUCACUUAAGUUAAGAAAAUCUUUGUAAUACAAAAAAAGAAACUUAUUUCCUUUGUUCAUCUCUAGAAUAAUAUUGUACUGCCCUGACUGCACUUUGCUGGCAGCUGGACAUUUUUUUAAUUAACAAGAUAAUCUAUAUUGAAACUUUAUUAGAAAUUCAAAA
Molecule: long non-coding RNA, 2395 nt
Organism: Photinus pyralis (common eastern firefly)
Lineage: Eukaryota; Metazoa; Arthropoda; Insecta; Coleoptera; Lampyridae
Exons: 11
Source: RefSeq, a predicted model, not a curated record